This 383-nucleotide ribosomal RNA is filed under the name uncultured bacterium. RNAcentral's name for it is "bacterial SSU rRNA". It matches the Rfam family "Bacterial small subunit ribosomal RNA", at positions 524 to 906 of the family's 1533-position model. The record is from RNAcentral.
UACGAAGGGGGCGAGCGUUGUUCGGAUUUACUGGGCGUAAAGGGCGCGUAGGCGGCCCUGUUUGUCGCGUGUGAAAGCCCCGGGCUCAACCUGGGAACGGCGCGCGAUACGGCGGGGCUAGAGAUCGGGAGAGGAGCGUGGAAUUCCCAGUGUAGAGGUGAAAUUCGUAGAUAUUGGGAAGAACACCGGUGGCGAAGGCGGCGCUCUGGACCGAGACUGACGCUGAGGCGCGAAAGCGUGGGGAGCAAACAGGAUUAGAUACCCUGGUAGUCCACGCUGUAAACGAUGUGUGCUAGACGUUGGGGAGCCUAGCUCUUCGGUGUCGCAGCUAACGCGGUAAGCACACCGCCUGGGGAGUACGGCCGCAAGGUUAAAACUCAAAG